RNAcentral lists this long non-coding RNA (232 nucleotides) under Lathyrus oleraceus (garden pea). Its description in RNAcentral is "Pisum sativum (pea) long non-coding RNA (PSAT_LNC027629)". Lineage: Eukaryota; Viridiplantae; Streptophyta; Magnoliopsida; Fabales; Fabaceae. The record is from RNAcentral.
UUGAAGUCAUAUGAGGGUGUAACAGGAUUGUUAUCAAUGAGAUCCGGAGAAUGAUCGCAUCUGCAUGAAUAUGGAUUCAUGCAUUGCUUUAGAACCGGAACGAGACAAAUUGAAAAGGAAAAUGAAAACAUUGCCAUUUUUUUUUUUUUUUUUUUUAAACUGCAAAAAUAAAUGAAAAACAGGGAACACCGCUUUUAAUUGAAAAACAUCCAUUUAUUUAUGAUGCAAAAAC